GUGCCAGCAGCCGCGGUAAUACGAGAGGUGCAAGCGUUAUUCGGAAUUAUUGGGCGUAAAGGGUGCGUAGGCGGCAUGUUAAGUCAACUGUUAAAUUCUCCGGCCUAACUGGAGACAUGCGGUAGAUACUGGCAAGCUAGAGGAUGAAAGAGAGAAGUGGAAUUCUCGGAGUAGCGGUAAAAUGCGUAGAUCUCGAGAGGAACACCAAUGGCGAAGGCAGCUUCUUGGUUCAUUUCUGACGCUGAUGCACGAAAGCGUGGGGAGCAAACAGGAUUAGAUACCCUGGUAGUCC
This 292-nucleotide ribosomal RNA is filed under the name uncultured bacterium. RNAcentral describes it as "partial 16S ribosomal RNA". It matches the Rfam family "Bacterial small subunit ribosomal RNA", at positions 505 to 796 of the family's 1533-position model. The record is from RNAcentral.